Molecule: transfer RNA, 73 nt
Filed under: Vitis vinifera (wine grape)
Lineage: Eukaryota; Viridiplantae; Streptophyta; Magnoliopsida; Vitales; Vitaceae
Rfam family: tRNA
About the family: Transfer RNA (tRNA) molecules are approximately 80 nucleotides in length.
Source: Rfam by way of RNAcentral
UUCAUUAUAGACUAGCUGGUUAGGAUAUUCGGCUCUCACCCGAAAGACCUAGGUUCAAGUCCCAACAAUAAAA